UGGGAGCACAUGUGAAAGGAUCAAUCAUAUACCCAGGGAGUAUAUUGCAGAACAAGAAGCCAGACUGAGACUGUAAUCCCACAAUCCCUUGCAAGAACAUGUCUAAUCUCCCAGGAACUUCUUUCUAUGCCCACUUUUCAGAAUCCUCACCACAAACUAAAAACCAAGCUCCCAACCCAUGAACCAUUGAGUAACAACACUCAAGCUACAACAGUCUACCCCCUGGCCCUCCCAAGACUGAUGUUCUCCUCACAGUGAAAAUGCAUUCACUCCAUCUCCAAGAGUUCCAAAAUUUUAACUCAUUCCAGAACGGCUUAGUAGUCAAAGUCCAACGUCUUCUCUGAGAUUCAAGGCAAACCCACAGUUGUGAGUCCUUGCAAGAAAUCUUCUGAGCUAAUAGCUGAGUGUUUGAAAUCAAACAGAGCUCUUCCAUGAAUUUACAAGAUCUGUUGGGGAGGGUAUAUUUUGACUAUCAGAGCAAUGUAAGUUUCUAUUCUAGCAUCAAGACCACCUGUCCAGCUAGGAAAGCAGGUUGUUAAAAUGAUAAGAGAGAUGCAAAGUAACACAGACAAGGUUUAUUAUCAGCAAGACGAAACACUGCAUGAUAGUCAGCAUUUCUGAGAAAUUCAGGAGGAAAAGCAUUUGGCAAAGGGGUGGAAAAAUAACCUGAUGAUGGUGUAUCUGUCCCUCACCUAUCUCCCCCCCUCCAGCUCCUAUGCCCCUUUUCUCACUUUAGGAGGAGACAUUGAACAAAGUAAAACAACCACUCUCUGAGCAUCCAAGGUUGUAGAAGUAACAUAUGCUGCCCUUGUUACUUUGAAUCACUUCCCCAGGGCAUUUAUCAUUUGUACACUGAGAUGUUCUGACAGCCACUUGGCACUUGCCUUUUGUCAUGUUGUAAUGGAAUAUGCAUUUCCAUUGCAGUCAAUAUUUUUUCACUUCAAUUACAUGCAGUGAAUCAACCCCUUGCUACAUAGAAAUUUGU
Non-coding RNA from Oryctolagus cuniculus (rabbit), 985 nucleotides. The record is from RefSeq and is a predicted model, not a curated record. NCBI's taxonomy places the organism in Eukaryota, Metazoa, Chordata, Mammalia, Lagomorpha, Leporidae.